Molecule: long non-coding RNA, 3315 nt
Organism: Strigops habroptila (Kakapo)
Lineage: Eukaryota; Metazoa; Chordata; Aves; Psittaciformes; Psittacidae
Exons: 2
Source: RefSeq, a predicted model, not a curated record
CCUGGAACAGUGGCUUGUCUUGCACUUAUCACAAGGCUCUUGCAUUGUGUUGGUACCACAGACAUCCUUUUCCUUCAGGAAAACAUUCGUCUAGUCAUGGCCUAGAUCAAGGGUGAGGUGUUGGAUCUUUCAGAUUCUGUCUGCAUAUGUGUCGAAGCUGUUGCACAACGGCUAGUUUUGGUUUGUUAAAUUCAGAACUGGAUUAAUAGGGGAAGCUGUGGAUCAGAACCAAGGCAUGCUGAUGCUGGGAGAACUGCAAAAAACCACCCCAAAACCUUCGAGUUGGGGUGCUCAUGCAUUGACAGUCUUUUUUCAGGAAGGACAGCGAGGAUUCCAGCACUCGGCGGUUUGCUGGAGACCAAGGUUCAGCUAAAUUAUCAGAGCUGUCUGAGGCAAGCUUAUAAAGCACCUGCUUGUUUUGUUUGUGGCACUGGAGCUUUUAGUCCGUAUUUUUCUGGAUGCUAAACAUGUAAAACCUUUGGAAACUAUAUCCAAUGGUGUUAAACUUUUAGCCUAGAUUUUUAAAUGCUUUAGUCUAUUUGUCUGGUAUUCUGAUGUUGUUGCCAAAUGCUUAAAGGUAGUACUUUUGAGUCACACUUAAUUUCUCCCUGUCUCUUAAUUCAUGUCUGGCUGAUACUUUGGUUGGCCACAACUAUGAAGUUCAGCUUCACUAAGUUGCCUCCUUUUUCCUUUGAAUUAUUUUCCUCCUCCUUUUAGUGUUUUGCUUAACCUCAUUAUUUCCUUGUCUUCAGUGUUUAAUAAAAUUCUUUCUCAAUAUCUUCUUCUCUUUAGCUCUAAUGACUUCCCUUGAUUAUAACUUUCUUGCCUGGCCUUCCUCUUUUUGUAAUCACUGCUACUUAUGUCCCCUCUUUCCUCUGUUACUUAAUUGUGAUCCUAUCCUUAGUUGAUGCCUUUGUUGGCUUCCUGUCUCAUAUUACAGCUCCCUUGUCAGACUCGCAAGUAAUCUUACUUGGUCUCACUAUAUUUAUUCAGUGCCAUAGUAUUCUAUAAGCACUUCCAGUCAUAUUUCUCGCCGCUCUUUUGGGCUUUGGCUGCACUAGAGCUAUCACUGCUAAUCUGUGUUUGGGUGCCUCUGCAAGCCUGAAGGCAUUCCCAUAGCGAUGUAUGUUUAUUAACAAGUUGUGCAAAUUUGCUGCAAUAUUUGAGCUCUAUGUCUUACAAGGAAGAUCCACCUGUCAUCAGCCACAUUAGUCUUCACAUGGGGUACCUGCUGUAGAUGACACAUGCUAUAUAGUACUUUCCAUAGUACAAGCAAACUUUUACUCUUCUGAUACAACGUGAGAUUUCUGGAGUUUCCUUGUCUGUGUAAGUCGUUUCGUUUACCUGGAUUUAUUGCACUAGUUUUUUUUGCCAACAACUAUUUGAUUCAUCUCUGCCUGUUCUUAUUGGAAGUUUAUGGAAUAUACCUGAAAAAUCACAGAAUCGGCAUACUAUUCACUGCCUUUGGGUAUUUGAAUUCUUUGAAAUAUGGAUACUGCCACAGCUGGACUUUUUCAUAUGGAAUAAUCUAGAGUAUGAUUGGAUAUGCAGAUAUUUUGCUGAAUUGGAUACAGUUUGCUCAGAAAAACAGUUUUGGGAGGAGAGCUAGAAUGAGUGCUCCAAUUGGAAUGAAACAAACCAACUGUUCCAGGAGAGGAAGGAGACCUCUUCUUUCACGAUGGACAAGGAUUAUGUUGUCGGUAUUUUCUUCAUCCGUGGACUACAAGAUGCUCUCGAGUAGAGUUGAAGCUGUAUCACUGAAUUGUAGGAGAUUUGCAUGGAGGAGAUGGAGGAGUACACUCCUUUUGUGGCAUAGACAAAGACAUUGUGGCGCAGAGACCCUAUCAGGAUCUUGGGAAUAAAUCAUUUCAAGCUACAGAGUUGAUGGCAGCAUCAAAUAAGUCUGAAGAAGCCACCUUUUGAAGCGUGCCAGAGCUUCUGAACCAGAACCUAUUCGGUAGCAAGGCAACAACUGGGAAAUGCUGGUACGUCCAUUGUGUGGAAGGAAUGUGACUCAUCUAGGAAUGACAAAAGCAAAGUGCUUGAUAAAUCCCAGCUCAGCUUUCAACAAUUGGGAAAAUGUGGGGGAAAAAGUCUGAAAGAAAACAAAACUUAAAUGCCAAGACAAACUUAGUCAGGAAGACUGAGAAUUCAUCAAGGGCCAUCUCUGAUUAAAGAAACAAGACUACAGAAGAGACAUUCAGACUUUCGAUGAAGUUCUUGUAGGACUACCAGCAACUUGCAGUUAGUGUAAACAAAAUCUGGUCGUUUUCCACAUAGGCCCACCUUGUUCAGGUGACUUCCAUGGUUUAUGUUGAAGAAGAUUUGUGUAACUUGAGUGGAGGGUGUCAGCUAAACUUAGUCAGUGAAUCUGAUGUUGACAUCUCUUUAAUGUCUUGCAUCUGAAAAUACAUAAAUGCUGAUAACAUUUGUUGUAGCAACUUCAGCUGUUGCAAGAUCUGGGAGCUUCUGGUGCCUGUGGUGCUCUAUCCCUAUUUUGUAGGGUUGCACAGAGACUAAAGAACAGAUGAAAUGGUACUGUGAGAUACACUAGCGGUCAAUUCACCUUGCUUGGCUUUCGGAGCCAUGCUCUGCCAGCCUUCUCUGCAUGCUUUCUGUCUAUAGCUGAACGAUCAUCUGAGUUCAUGAACUUCAACACUGUGGGAAGCAAUCACUCUGAAGAUGAAAUAAUUUAUUGUCCUAUUUGUAGGCUGAUUUUAUGUCCUUAUUUGAAAGAAACAGGAUUUCUAAUACUGUCUUUUAGAAUUAGCUUCUGGUGGUGCUGUGCUUACUUGCCUUCCUCCCUCCUUAAAUGCGCAAUAUCUCUUAUCUGUCAUCAUGCCACACAUUAGAUACAUAUAUAUGAAAAUAAUCUGUUACUUCAUAGGAUUGGGUUUCUGAUUUAUUCUUGGGAUUCAAGAGGUGCAUGUGGAUUCAUUUGCAAGUCCUGCAAUUCAGGGUAUCCAGUCAUAAGAGUGAUAAACAUAUAUAUGGAACAUUUCAUAUAUAAUACAGCUCUACAGUAUCUAGCAAGAACUUUUCAUUAUUCUGUUGCUCAAGCAAGUGCUGUUAUCCAUGAUGGCAAAUUAACUGCUCCUACUUAAUGAUUGAAAUCCUUAUUCAGGCAGUCUUGUACUUUCUGCUGAGAUGAAGACGUUUCUCUUCCUUGAUUCUGAAGUUGCUGUCUAGUCAUGUGCCUCCUGCCAGUCCUUGUGCUCUCCCGUACAACUACAAACUACUAGUUUUACUGCAAGCAAAUAAACAUUAUGCUUGAGCUACCUGGGGUGUUUCCUGACAAUGUUCAGGACCUGCAGU